UUGCACCUGAUUGAUUUUGGUYGCCAACGAGUGGCGGACGGGUGAGUAACACGUAGGUAACCUGCCCAGAAGCGGGGGACAACAUUUGGAAACAGAUGCUAAUACCGCAUAACARCGUUGUUCGCAUGAACAACGCUUAAAAGAUGGCUUCUCGCUAUCACUUCUGGAUGGACCUGCGGUGCAUUAGCUUGUUGGUGGGGUAAYGGCCUACCAAGGCGAUGAUGCAUAGCCGAGUUGAGAGACUGAUCGGCCACAAUGGGACUGAGACACGGCCCAUACUCCUACGGGAGGCAGCAGUAGGGAAUCUUCCACAAUGGGCGCAAGCCUGAUGGAGCAACACCGCGUGAGUGAAGAAGGGUUUCGGCUCGUAAAGCUCUGUUGUUAAAGAAGAACACGUAUGAGAGUAACUGUUCAUACGUUGACGGUAUUUAACCAGAAAGUCACGGCUAACUACGUGCCAGCAGCCGCGGUAAUACGUAGGUGGCAAGCGUUAUCCGGAUUUAUUGGGCGUAAAGAGAGUGCAGGCGGUUUUCUAAGUCUGAUGUGAAAGCCUUCGGCUUAACCGGAGAAGUGCAUCGGAAACUGGAUAACUUGAGUGCAGAAGAGGGUAGUGGAACUCCAUGUGUAGCGGUGGAAUGCGUAGAUAUAUGGAAGAACACCAGUGGCGAAGGCGGCUACCUGGUCUGCAACUGACGCUGAGACUCGAAAGCAUGGGUAGCGAACAGGAUUAGAUACCCUGGUAGUCCAUGCCGUAAACGAUGAGUGCUAGGUGUUGGAGGGUUUCCGCCCUUCAGUGCCGGAGCUAACGCAUUAAGCACUCCGCCUGGGGAGUACGACCGCAAGGUUGAAACUCAAAGGAAUUGACGGGGGCCCGCACAAGCGGUGGAGCAUGUGGUUUAAUUCGAAGCUACGCGAAGAACCUUACCAGGUCUUGACAUCUUGCGCCAACCCUAGAGAUAGGGCGUUUCCUUCGGGAACGCAAUGACAGGUGGUGCAUGGU
RNAcentral lists this ribosomal RNA (1000 nucleotides) under Limosilactobacillus fermentum. RNAcentral's name for it is "bacterial SSU rRNA". It matches the Rfam family "Bacterial small subunit ribosomal RNA", at positions 62 to 1049 of the family's 1533-position model. Lineage: Bacteria; Bacillati; Bacillota; Bacilli; Lactobacillales; Lactobacillaceae. The record is from RNAcentral.